GACGAACGCUGGCGGCGUGCUUAACACAUGCAAGUCGAACGGAAAGGCCCUGCUUUUGUGGGGCGCUCGAGUGGCGAACGGGUGAGUAACACGUGAGUAACCUGCCCUUGACUUUGGGAUAACUUCAGGAAACUGGGGCUAAUACCGGAUAGGAGCUCCUGCUGCAUGGUGGGGGUUGGAAAGUUUCGGCGGUUGGGGAUGGACUCGCGGCUUAUCAGCUUGUUGGUGGGGUAGUGGCUUACCAAGGCUUUGACGGGUAGCCGGCCUGAGAGGGUGACCGGCCACAUUGGGACUGAGAUACGGCCCAGACUUCUACGGGAGGCAGCAGUGGGGAAUAUUGCACAAUGGGCGGAAGCCUGAUGCAGCAACGCCGCGUGCGGGAUGACGGCCUUCGGGUUGUAAACCGCUUUCGCCUGUGACGAAGCGUGAGUGACGGUAAUGGGUAAAGAAGCACCGGCUAACUACGUG
Molecule: ribosomal RNA, 468 nt
Filed under: uncultured bacterium
Lineage: Bacteria
Description: partial 16S ribosomal RNA
Rfam family: Bacterial small subunit ribosomal RNA
Source: RNAcentral